CCAGAACACAUCAAAGAAUAGAGAAUUAUAAAACACAGCACUCCUGUGACCCUUGUAAGCAUAAGUGGCUCAGAAAAUGGAUGGCUGGAUAAACACAACAUUUGAACUAUAUGAAGUGAGGCUCUUUUAAUUGGGGGACGAGAGAGUGGUGGGGGGUGUAACUUUGGGAAAAUGAAAUCACAAUAUUGCAAUAAAUAGCAAUAUUAUAAAGACGAAGUCACACUUUUUCUAGAUCAAAGUUACAAGAAACAAGUAAUUGUUGAAAAAUGUGAACAUCAACAUUCCUACAUCAAUGUAACAGUAAUUUCAGUGUGGUACAAAAGCAUAUAUUUUCCAUUUUAGACGUUUAUUUGAUGUUUUCAUUUUAUAUCUCUAUGACAUGAACUAGAACACGUCUCACCCAGUACAGCGUAUGUCAAAUUUAGCAGGGUACACCAUUGUGGUACAUGUUGACAGUCAUUGUGUGUCACAAAUCAAGCUCGAUGGCAACAGGAGAGGCCUGCCAGACUGAGGUCUUUGAAAGGACAGUGACAUAUAAUGCAAUCCUUUCUGAUGUCACCUAAAUCCAUGCUUUGUAUUUUUCAUGGUAUCACAUGUGCGGAGAGGUAGCUAUACUGUAUAUAUAUAUAUAUACACUGUGUUAGGCUAGGGCGGCACGGUGGAUAAGGUGGAAAGCAUUGGCCUCACAGUUCUGAGGUCCCAGGUUCAAUCCCGGCCCCGCCUGUGUGGAAUUUGCAUGUUCUCCCCGUGCCUGUGUGGGUUUUCUCUGGGCACUCCGGUUUCCUCCCACAUCCCUAAAACAUGCAACAUUAAUUGGACUCUUUGUGUGAUUGUGAGGGCGGCUGUUGUCUGUCUCCAUGUGCCCUGCGAUUAUCUGGGAACCAGUGCAGGGUGUACCCCACCUCCUGGCCGUUCACAGCUGGGAUAGGCUCCAGCAUGUCCGUGACCAUCGUUAGGAUAAGCGGCUUAGAAAAUGGAUGGAUGGAUGGAUGGAUGGAUGUGUUAGGCCAGAUAUGGACAAACUACAGCCCGCGGCCCGUAUACGGCCCGUUAAGCUUUUCAGUCCGGCCCACCGAACUUAUCCACUUAAAAAAAAAUAAAAAAAUCUAAAUCCUACAUAAAUCUUUCAUCUGGUCCCUGCAGUGCCAGCGUUUCCCCAAUAGGUGGCGGACUGAACAUUGGUGGACCUUUGUUGGAGUGUAACAUACUUUUUAUUUCACUCUUAUUUUCCGUGGCCGGUUGAGUCCUUCUGUAAAAAUGAGCGGACCAAAGACAGUGAGUGCACAGUAUUUCAUAAACGGUGGACAACGAAAUAUUUUUAGACUGAAGUCCGAUCAAUGGCUGUGCGUCUCAUAUGCCAAGAAGCUGUUGCACUUAUAAAGAGUACAAUAUCUGCCGUCAAUUUGCAACGAAGUAUGCAAAUUAUGCUACCAGUCCAUGCAAGAACGGGCGGCUACUGCACACAGGUUGGGGGCUAAGUUACAGACUCAGCAGAAUUAUUUCACCGACAAACUGCAAUUCAAGAGUCAAGUAUCAAAGCAAGGUGUUUACAUUCUACCUCAAGAUAGCAUGAACGCAGACCAACCAGAUCCAACCAAAAUGAAAAAGUGCUUGGUUGGCAACCUGUUCAGAAUGUACCCCACCUCCUGCCUGUUGACUGCAAGGAUGCGCUUCAGCACUGCCGCAACCCUUGUGAGGGUAAGCUGCUAAAAAAUGGAUGGAUGGCAUACAAGGUUGCAAAUGGACUGCAGAGAGUCACACACAGCAGCAGCAGGACUACGCAAAGAAUGGUGAACCAAUUUCAACAGAAAUUUCUACAGGGCUGGUACAUCAGAAGGGUUGCGGGCAUGCUGAAGCCUUACCCACUAUAUUCGGGCGAGAGGCAGCGUACAUCCUGAACUGGGCGGCAGUGACUCGGAGGGGGUACAAAUAAUCACUCGUACUCACAUUCACACAAAUGGGAAAUUUCGAGUUUUCAGUUAACCGAUCAUGCAUGUUUUUGGGAUGUGGGAGGAAACUGGAGUACUCGGAGAAAACAUAAGCGGGCACAAGGAGAACAUCCAAACUUUGCACAGAUGGAGCGGGGGAGAGGGGGAGAAGAGUGACGACCCCGGCAGCGUACCCCAGGGAACGGGAAGAAUAGGGCACAGGCCCGGGACACAGCAGCACACCCCCAAGCCCCCACCAGGAGACUGGGGUGAGAAACCCCAGAGUGGGGACAAGGGGCACCACCCCGGCACCCAGCGACGAAGACACUUCAGAAGCCUAAAUGUUGACUUCUAUUUCAAACGGUAUUACUCCAUCCAGUUUGAUGAAGGACCCCUACCAG
This is an RNA transcript of Syngnathoides biaculeatus (alligator pipefish), 2329 nucleotides long. RefSeq lists it as uncharacterized. Lineage: Eukaryota; Metazoa; Chordata; Actinopteri; Syngnathiformes; Syngnathidae. The transcript is spliced from 6 exons. The record is from RefSeq and is a predicted model, not a curated record.